Molecule: long non-coding RNA, 965 nt
Organism: Diabrotica virgifera virgifera (western corn rootworm)
Lineage: Eukaryota; Metazoa; Arthropoda; Insecta; Coleoptera; Chrysomelidae
Exons: 2
Source: RefSeq, a predicted model, not a curated record
UUCUCCGAUAAUCAGCCCAGACUAUUUAUAUAAUAAAUGAGUUCUUAUUCUACUUUCAAUAUAUUUCUUGUUAAAAUAAAUUACACGAUAUAAAUAAAUAAAUAACAUAUCACUAAUAUGAAGAGAAAACAUGAGUUAAGGCAAAUGCUCCAGUAUUUGAUUUUUUAAAAUGUAUUAUUUUGCAACAAAUAAAUCAACAAGAUGCUCAAAUCAAUGUAACAAAUCAAGACAGAUUCUUGAAUUAAAAAAUAAAUUAAGUAACAUAUCAGUCAUUUUACCCAGAUUUGUCUUGAUCAUUGCACAAUCCUUACGUAUACGAUGUCAAAUUGUUAACAAUUUUUUUUCUCUUGCAUGGCCUUUGGGAGCUGUGCCCACUUAAAAUUAGCUUAAAAUUAACGCUUAACUAAACCUACCAAACACCAUUUUACGAACCCAAUCGAACAAUCAAGCAUAUAGUCCAUGUGGUGAGACCGCUCCCGUCUGAAAAACAUUUCUAAUUCGGUUUCUCUGCGGAUUCAUAUUCAAAAAUGUCCCCUUACAAAUCUGAAGGGUGCCGGACUGAAUUUUUGGGCAGAAAUUGUUUAAACAAUUUUUUAAAACUAAUACAUAAGAUCGCCUGUUAUUGCUCCAAAAAAUAUAUUUUUAGGUUUUUUGGGUCAUUCUUAGUGACCAACUAGCCCGAAAAAUCCGGGACAUGGCCCGAAUUACGAAGUCGUGUCCCUGACAAGGCUUCCGGGCCAUCCGAAUUUUCGACGUUUUGGUAUUUUGAAACGUCUAUUUUGAGAUUUUGAAUACGUUAUUCUUCUAAGAAUUCACAUCAAAUUGAAUUGGUGGGACAAAAAAAUUCCCUAUUUCUAGAGUGUAAUAUGUACUAAUACCACAUGCAAAACGCAUGCAUUUUAUAUCGUGGUAUUCUACGAAAACUCAAACUCUAGACUUUUUCCCGUUUCUGUAUAUUAAUCAUC